RNAcentral lists this ribosomal RNA (253 nucleotides) under uncultured bacterium. Its description in RNAcentral is "partial 16S ribosomal RNA". It matches the Rfam family "Bacterial small subunit ribosomal RNA", at positions 524 to 776 of the family's 1533-position model. The record is from RNAcentral.
UACGGGGGGGGCAAGCGUUGUUCGGAAUUACUGGGCGUAAAGGGCUCGUAGGUGGCCAACUAAGUCAGACGUGAAAUCCCUCGGCUUAACCGGGGAACUGCGUCUGAUACUGGAUGGCUUGAGUUCGGGAGAGGGAUGCGGAAUUCCAGGUGUAGCGGUGAAAUGCGUAGAUAUCUGGAGGAACACCGGUGGCGAAGGCGACAUCCUGGACCGACACUGACGCUGAGGAGCGAAAGCCAGGGGAGCAAACGGG